UUUUGCACAACAGCGGCGGGCACUCGCUUAAACUUGUCACCAUCCAACACAACAGUGACGAGUACCUAGGCAUGAAACACAUCUCCCGCCCCCUCAAAGGCAAAGGGAUUAAUAUGUCACCAUCCAACACAACAGUGACGAGUACCUUGGCAUGAAACACAUCUCCCGCCCCCUCAAAGGUAAAGGGAUUAAUAUGUCACCAUCCAACACAACAGUGACGAGUACCUAGGCAUGAAACACAUCUCCCCGCCCCCUCAAAGGUAAAGGGAUUAAUAUGUCACCAUCCAACACAACAGUGACGAGUACCUUGCCAUGAAACACAUCUCCCCGCCCCCUCAAAGGCAAAGGGAUUAAUAUGUCACCAUCCAACACAACAGUGACGAGUACCUUGGCAUGAAACACAUCUCCCGCCCCCUCAAAGGUAAAGGGAUUAAUAUGUCACCAUCCAACACAACAGUGACGAGUACCUUGGCAUGAAACACAUCUCCCCGCCCCCUCAAAGGUAAAGGGAUUAAUAUGUCACCAUCCAACACAACAGUGACGAGUACCUAGGCAUGAAACACAUCUCCCGCCCCCUCAAAGGUAAAGGGAUUAAUAUGUCACCAUCCAACACAACAGUGACGAGUACCUUGGCAUGAAACACAUCUCCCCGCCCCCUCAAAGGUAAAGGGAUUAAUAUGUCACCAUCCAACACAACA
Eriocheir sinensis (Chinese mitten crab) is the source of this 698-nucleotide long non-coding RNA. RefSeq lists it as uncharacterized. The record is from RefSeq and is a predicted model, not a curated record. The transcript is spliced from 4 exons. NCBI's taxonomy places the organism in Eukaryota, Metazoa, Arthropoda, Malacostraca, Decapoda, Varunidae.